UAGCUAGUUGGUGGGGUAAGGGCCUACCAAGGCGACGAUCGGUAGCUGGUCUGAGAGGAUGGCCAGCCACACUGGAACUGAGACACGGUCCAGACUCCUACGGGAGGCAGCAGUGGGGAAUAUUGGACAAUGGGGGCAACCCUGAUCCAGCAAUGCCGCGUGUGUGAAGAAGGCCUGAGGGUUGUAAAGCACUUUCAGUGGGGAGGAGGAUUGACAGGUUAAGAGCUGGUCAAUUGGACGUUACCCACAGAAGAAGCACCGGCUAACUCCGUGCCAGCAGCCGCGGUAAUACGGAGGGUGCGAGCGUUAAUCGGAAUUACUGGGCGUAAAGGGUGCGUAGGUGGUUUGGUAAGUUAUCUGUGAAAUUCCCGGGCUUAACCUGGGACGGUCAGAUAAUACUGCUGAACUCGAGUGUGGGAGAGGGUAGUGGAAUUUCCGGUGUAGCGGUGAAAUGCGUAGAGAUCGGAAGGAACACCAGUGGCGAAGGCGGCUACCUGGCCCAACACUGACACUGAGGCACGAAAGCGUGGGGAGCAAACAGGAUUAGAUACCCUGGUAGUCCACGCCGUAAACGAUGUCAACUAGCUGUUGGUUAUAUGAAUAUAAUUAGUGGCGC
RNAcentral lists this ribosomal RNA (616 nucleotides) under uncultured Legionella sp. RNAcentral describes it as "bacterial SSU rRNA". It matches the Rfam family "Bacterial small subunit ribosomal RNA", at positions 242 to 849 of the family's 1533-position model. The record is from RNAcentral. Lineage: Bacteria; Pseudomonadati; Pseudomonadota; Gammaproteobacteria; Legionellales; Legionellaceae.